Molecule: long non-coding RNA, 363 nt
Filed under: Androctonus crassicauda
Lineage: Eukaryota; Metazoa; Arthropoda; Arachnida; Scorpiones; Buthidae
Source: RNAcentral
GUAAAAUUUUGGCACCUGAGCGGAAAUGACGUCAUCGGGGACUUAAUCUGACCUCCGCUAAUGGUACAUGCACAAAAAAAUCAAAACUAAAACAAGGCAAAAACCUCGGCCUCAGCCAACACCACCUAGAGAGAAGGCCGUUUCACAGAAUCGUGACGUCAUCACAAGAAGACCUAAGCAUGAAUGCAAAUUUUAUACCGAAAAUUUUAAGCGUUUUCACUUAAGCUGUAUCAUUCAAAUAAAAAAAAAAAUAUUUUUUUUACUAAUUUAAACUUUUGUGGAAAUUUAGUUGGCUGUGGUUCCGAAUACUCCCCGCUCCAAAAACUUAUUUUUUUUCAAUUCCUAACAGUAAAAUAACUAGAG